UUGAGCGAUUUACUUCGGUAAAGAGCGGCGGACGGGUGAGUAACGCGUGGGUAACCUACCCUGUACACACGGAUAACAUACCGAAAGGUAUGCUAAUACGGGAUAAUAUAUUUGAGAGGCAUCUCUUGAAUAUCAAAGGUGAGCCAGUACAGGAUGGACCCGCGUCUGAUUAGCUAGUGGGUAAGGUAACGGCUUACCAAGGCGACGAUCAGUAGCCGACCUGAGAGGGUGAUCGGCCACAGUGGAACUGAGACACGGUCCAAACUCCUACGGGAGGCAGCAGGGGGGAAUAUUGCACAAUGGGCGAAAGCCUGAUGCAGCAACGCCGCGUGAGUGAUGAAGGCCUUCGGGUCGUAAAACUCUGUCCUC
RNAcentral lists this ribosomal RNA (369 nucleotides) under Clostridioides difficile. RNAcentral describes it as "bacterial SSU rRNA". It matches the Rfam family "Bacterial small subunit ribosomal RNA", at positions 62 to 440 of the family's 1533-position model. The record is from RNAcentral. Lineage: Bacteria; Bacillati; Bacillota; Clostridia; Peptostreptococcales; Peptostreptococcaceae.